UUGGGGCUGUCUGUAAGCAAGGACUGGCCUGUCUCCCAAGGUCUGUGAGAGUGAGGGAUGGUCCUCCAGGAUAGGUUAUAGAUCCUUGAUGGUGCACUGGAGAGGUUUUAGUUGGAGGCUGUAGGUGAUGGCGAGUGGCAUUCAGUGACUUUCUUUGUUGGGCCUGUCCUGUAGUAGGUGACUUCGGGGUACCCUUCUGGCUCUGUCAAUCUGUUUCUUCACUUCAGCAGGUGGGUAUUGCAGUUGUAAGAACGCUUGAUAGAGAUCCUGCAGGUAUUUGUCCGAAUGAUUGGAGCAAAUGUGCUUGUAUCUUAGGGCUUGACUGUAGACAAUGGAUUGUGUGAUGUGGUCUGGAUGAAAGCUGGAGGCAUGUAGCUAAGUAUAGCGGUCAGUAGGUUUCCAGUAUAGGGUGAUGUUUAUGUGAUCACUGCUUAUUUGCACUGUCUGUGGGUUAUAAAAUAGCCAUGUUAUGCUGUAAAAAUUAGAUUUUAUAAAGUUAUUUAAUUAAAUUAAUUUCUUUAGUUCCUUUUGGGACUUGAAUGUGGGAAGGUUGACCCUGUGCAAUUCUUGCUGAAAAACCUAAAAGACUAAACUCUGGGUCUCCAGCUACUUUUCUAUGGGAGUUGGGUUUUUUUUAGGCACUGGAGAAGGGCAAUGAAGUGAACUCUAGCCCACCACCUCCGUUUCUUCUGAAAGGCCAUUGUCACUUUAAGUGUCAGCAAAACUUUGGCAGCAUGCCACAACAAUAACUCAACAUGAACAUUCAAAUUUAAGAUCAGGCCCACACAACUGCUACUGCAGCAUCAGCAAACCCAGGGAGAGAGCUAGACUGGGCUCCCCAUGACAAUCUCAUCCGCAAAUUCAGCACAUGGUACCAGUAUCCCAUCCUCUUCUCUGAGGACACCACAUGGAGAAGGAAUUCCCCUCACUUUCUGGGGUUGAAAAGAAGAGAGUGAUUUGGGCCAUGCUUUUCCUAAUACAUGCCAUCAGCUCACUUCUCCCUGGGAUAACAGCUUUUUUCCUUCUGCCAGCUAAGGGUGUACUAACCCUGCAUUGGGUCAACCGGGCCUGACCAAUCACUGUGGGCCUAGGAGACAAUGCUCCCUUACCCCUGCUGCACAUGCUCCAGGUGGAAGGGACAGAUAAAAGGAGGCAGCCCAGUUCAGUGGGGACUGACUGAGGAGGAGGAAGGACAUGUGCCACAGGUCCUGCAGAGGAAUCUUCAACUCUCCAGGAUGUUGAGACCAUGGACUCAGACUACGCUGUGGAUGACCAGCUGACCAUGGAGACUGACUGGGAUGCUGAGCCCCUGCCAACAGAGGAGAUGCCCUAAAUGGGCCUUAUGGUAGGAAGUACCCAGGAAAUGUGUUAGGGGUUCAAGCAUAGGGAAUUUACCAGCUUCCUAGGGCCCUGGGCUGGAACCCAGUGGAGUAGGGUGGCCCCAAGUUCCUCUAUGCCCUCCUUCUGCACUUGCCACUAGGCAAGCUACCUGACAGCUAGCUGGGAGGAGGAGAGAGUUCAGGUGUGUCCAUGUAAAUACAGUUUGUUCUUGCUCUGCUUAGAUAUCCAUCAGAUAGAGCAGCGUUUUGCUCAAAGUAAUCAACUUUGGCUGAUGUUGGGUUACAAAUCACUUUACUACUGAAUGCAGGGAUAGUGAAAUGCUGUUAUCAAUGUGUUGUAAUUAUUGUAUGAAUACAGGGAGCAGAACCUGUCCCAAAUGAGGGGGUCACCCUCAGCUGAAAGGACCUUGUUAAGCCAGGGGCUCGAAUGCCAGAACCCUGUGAAAGUAAGAGGGGGUGGGGCCAGGUGUCCCAGUCAGGAGGUGUAGAACUUCCCCAAGGAUCUUCCCUAGACUAGUUUAAUGUGUUUCCCUCCCCCCCACGCUGCUCAAAGAAAGAGCUAAAUUUUUUAUCAAGGUCCAAAUUUCUUGGUCAAGGUAUAGUCAAG
Long non-coding RNA from Dermochelys coriacea (leatherback sea turtle), 1947 nucleotides. RefSeq lists it as uncharacterized. The record is from RefSeq and is a predicted model, not a curated record. The transcript is spliced from 3 exons. Lineage: Eukaryota; Metazoa; Chordata; Testudines; Dermochelyidae.